GAUGAAGAACGCAGCGAAAUGCGAUAAGUAAUGUGAAUUGCAGAAUUCAGUGAAUCAUCGAAUCUUUGAACGCACAUUGCGCCCGCCAGCAUUCUGGCGGGCAUGCCUGUUCGAGCGUCAUUUCAACCCUCAAGCUCUGCUUGGUGUUGGGGCCCUACGGUUGACGUAGGCCCUUAAAGGUAGUGGCGGACCCUCUCGGAGCCUCCUUUGCGUAGUAACUAACGUCUCGCACUGGGAUUCGGAGGGACUCUUGCCGUAAAACCCCCAAAUUUUUAAAGGUUGACCUCGGAUCAGGUAGGAAUACCCACUGAACUUAAGCAUAUCAAUAAGCGGAGGA
Molecule: unclassified non-coding RNA, 337 nt
Filed under: soil metagenome
Description: partial contains 5.8S ribosomal RNA, internal transcribed spacer 2, and large subunit ribosomal RNA
Rfam family: 5.8S ribosomal RNA (bases 1-120)
Source: RNAcentral